This 462-nucleotide ribosomal RNA is filed under the name bacterium NB2006. Its description in RNAcentral is "bacterial SSU rRNA". It matches the Rfam family "Bacterial small subunit ribosomal RNA", at positions 28 to 474 of the family's 1533-position model. The record is from RNAcentral.
GAUGAACGCUGGCGGCGUGCCUAACACAUGCAAGUCGAACGGAGUUUAGCGCUGAUGAAGCUUCGGCAGAUUCUUGUUAAACUUAGUGGCGGACGGGUGAGUAACGCGUGGGUAACCUGCCUCAUACAGGGGGAUAGCAGUUGGAAACGACUGAUAACACCGCAUAAGCGCACAGGAUCGCAUGAUCUAGUGUGAAAAUAUUUAUAGGUAUGAGAUGGACCCGCGUCUGAUUAGCUAGUUGGUGAGGUAACGGCCCACCAAGGCGACGAUCAGUAGCCGGCCUGAGAGGGCGGACGGCCACAUUGGGACUGAGACACGGCCCAAACUCCUACGGGAGGCAGCAGUGGGGGAUAUUGCACAAUGGGCGAAAGCCUGAUGCAGCGACGCCGCGUGAGUGAAGAAGUAUUUCGGUAUGUAAAGCUCUAUCAGCAGGGAAGAAAGACCUCGAAAGAGGGGAUGACG